Molecule: ribosomal RNA, 1238 nt
Filed under: metagenome
Description: bacterial SSU rRNA
Rfam family: Bacterial small subunit ribosomal RNA
Source: RNAcentral
GGGUGAGUAACACGUGGAUGAUCUACCUCUUAGUGUGGAAUAACCCUGGGAAACCGGGGCUAAUACCGCAUAAUCCCGAGAGGGGAAAGCCGAAAGGCGCUGAGAGAGGAGUCCGCGGCCGAUUAGCUAGUUGGCAGGGUAAAAGCCUACCAAGGCAGAGAUCGGUAGCCGGCCUGAGAGGGCACACGGCCACACUGGCACUGAAACACGGGCCAGACUCCUACGGGAGGCAGCAGUGGGGAAUCUUGCACAAUGGGGGAAACCCUGAUGCAGCGACGCCGCGUGAGCGAUGAAGCCCUUCGGGGUGUAAAGCUCUUUCGGCAGGGAAGAUAGUGACGGUACCUGCAGAAGCAGCUGCGGCUAACUACGUGCCAGCAGCCGCGGUAAUACGUAGGCAGCGAGCGUUGUUCGGAGUUACUGGGCGUAAAGGGUGUGUAGGCGGUUGUUUAAGUUUGGUGUGAAAUCUCCCGGCUUAACUGGGAGGGUGCGCCGAAUACUGAAUGACUAGAGUACGGGAGAGGAAAGUGGAAUUCCUGGUGUAGCGGUGAAAUGCGUAGAUAUCAGGAGGAACACCGGUGGUGUAGACGGCUUUCUGGACCGUAACUGACGCUGAGACACGAAAGCGUGGGUAGCAAACAGGAUUAGAUACCCUGGUAGUCCACGCCCUAAACGAUGCAUAUUUGGUGUGGGUCAUUCAGUUGAUCCGUGCCGGAGCUAACGCGUUAAAUAUGCCGCCUGGGGAGUACAGUCGCAAGGCUGAAACUCAAAGGAAUUGACGGGGGCCCGCACAAGCGGUGGAGCAUGUGGUUCAAUUCGACAACGCGAAGAACCUUACCUGGGCUCGAACGGCCGGUUAACGGAGGUGGAAACACUUCUACCCCGCAAGGGGGUCCGGUCGAGGUGCUGCAUGGCUGUCGUCAGCUCGUGUCGUGAGAUGUUGGGUUAAGUCCCGCAACGAGCGCAACCCUUGUCCUGUGUUGCCAUGUUCGCAAGAACGGAACUCGCAGGAGACCGCCAGCGAUAAGCUGGAGGAAGGUGGGGAUGACGUCAAGUCCUCAUGGCCUUUAUGUCCAGGGCUACACACGUGCUACAAUGGGCGGUACAAAGCGUCGCUAACCCGCGAGGGGGAGCCAAUCGCAGAAAGCCGCUCUCAGUUCGGAUUGCAGGCUGCAACUUGCCUGCAUGAAGCUGGAAUCGCUAGUAAUGGCAGAUCAGCACGCUGCCGUGAAUACGUUCCC